UAUUUUGACCGUGCGAAGGUAGCGUAAUCACUUGUCUUUUAAAUAGAGACCUGUAUGAAUGGCAUAACGAGGGCUAAGCUGUCUCCUUUCCCCAGUCAAUGAAAUUGAUCUGCCCGUGCAGAAGCGGGCAUAACAACAUAAGACGAGAAGACCCUAUGGAGCUUAAGACAUCCGAACAAUUCGUGUUAAGAUUCUUAAAUUACCAAGAAGAAACCAAAUGACCAUUGUUCCCCUGUCUUUGGUUGGGGCGACCGCGGAGUAAUAAAAAACCCCCACGUGGAAUAGGAUAAAACCCUAAAGCCAGAGCCACAGCUCUAACAAACAGAAUAUCUGACCAAAAAGAUCCGGCAACGCCGAUCAACGGACCCAGUUACCCUAGGGAUAACAGCGCAAUCCCCUUCUAGAGCCCAUAUCGACAAGGGGGUUUACGACCUCGAUGUUGGAUCAGGACUUCCUAAUGGUGCAGCCGCUAUUAAGG
Molecule: ribosomal RNA, 478 nt
Filed under: Parachaeturichthys polynema
Lineage: Eukaryota; Metazoa; Chordata; Actinopteri; Gobiiformes; Gobiidae
Description: partial 16S ribosomal RNA
Rfam family: Bacterial large subunit ribosomal RNA
Source: RNAcentral